GUUGUAGGAGCAUUGAUGUGCCUUGAUGGAGAUGUAACGGAAGAUGUAGCAAAUCAAUGAAAUUAAUGGUCAGUUACGAAUGUGCAGUCUAUAAAUAAGAAUAGCAGGACAGGUAAAGUAAUCUUGAAUCUAAUCUAAAUUGGCCUAGCUAAUUGAUCCAUUAUCUGACUUGGGCGUCGGAGUGUUCUCUUUGCAGGACCUCCUGGUUGAUCUUCAAAAGACAUCAUUAAGACGAACAGGUCGGGCGGUCGGAAGCUGGUCUAAAGGGUUGGUUCGGUCUCGGGCUCUAACACCGAAACAUUUGGCGCCCACCAUGGGGCCCGAAAUUGUGAUUUACCCAGAAACGAACACAAUGGCUAAGCAGUUACAGUUGCAGGUUCUACAAGAGAUGCAGAGACAGAUGCAGGAGAUGAGGGCGGAGAUAGCGGCUCUGCGAGCGGAGCGAGAGAACGGGGUAGGGGAACCCUCGGUGCGAUCGGUGAAUGUGCAGACAGUCCAUUCUGGGGAUGAGGAGGUCAUUCGGCGGCCAUCGGUGGAGGAGGUGGGAGAAGCCGUUGGAGGGGAAGUUGUAGGAAGGGGUCGAGGAAGAGGGACUGACCGGGGGGAGGGGCCAGCAGGAAGAGGGGCCGGUCGGGGGGAUGGGCCGAACGGGAGGGGGAUCGGUAGAGGAGAGGGGUUGAACGGGAGAGGGAGGGGGAGAGAUGUUCAGGGAAGGGGAAGGGGAAGAGGGGAGGAAAAUAUAGGACGUGACCAGGAAAACCCGGAGAGGCAUAGGGAGUUUGCAGGGCAGAAUCAGCAAUUCGAAGAAGUUCUAGAGGGUGAGGACUAGUUUGAUCAGGCUGAGGGGCUGCACCCGUUUACUAAUAAUGUUAUGGGGGCAGUAAUGCUGGAGAAUAAGGUUUUCCCAUGGGUUGAGAAGUAUGGGGGCACGUCGGAUCCGGUGAAACAUCUACGAUCGUUCGUAGAUGCUAUGGCAGUCUAUUCAUCCAACGAGCUGGUCUGGUGCAGGGUGUUCUCUUUAUCCUUGAAGGAUGAAGCUUUGGAUUGGUUUCACUCACUGCCACCGUGAAGCAUUGAUGGGUUUGUUACCCUGAGGCAGUUGUUUAGCCAGCAGUAUGCUUCAAACCGUUCGCGAGGUUUGACUUAUACAGCCCUUGUCAGGAUGAAGCAAGGGCGUGAAGAGUCAUUGAAAGGGUUCAGGGAGCGCUUCAACCGAACCGCUCGGCAGGUGAGGAACGUAGACCAACGGCUGAUAGUAAGCGCGCUUACGACAGCGCUCAAACCUGGACCCUUUGUGGAUUAUUUGUACGAGGAGGAACCCCAGUCUAUGGGUGAACUGCAGCAUAAGUUAGCCGGGUUUAUACGAAUAGAGGAGGGGAGGUCGUACCGUAGUGAUCAGGGGGAAGAGGGGGUAACGAGAGAGAAGUCAGGGCGGGACAGAAGAGGAGAAAAACGGCCGGUCGGAGGGGAACAUAGAAUGACGGUGAAACGAGGGACAGAAAUACAAAAAGCGCAACAAUACUUCCAUCACACUUCAUUAAGUGCCCCGAGGGUGAGAGUCCUGGAGGAAGCCUUAAGGGCUAAUCUGCUGACGGUGGCACGGUCCCCGACCCCACGGGGAGCGGAUGAAAGUAAACAUUGUCGAUAUCAUCAGAACAUGGGGCAUUCUACGGAGGAUUGUGUGGCGUUGAGAGAUAAGUUGGAGAGCCUGGUACAGGCUGGGCACCUGAGGGAGUUUGUUCGAAGGGAGAAUCCUAACCCGAGGGAUACCCCGGGAAGGCACAGAGGUCGACUACCGGUCGGGCAGAGGGCUCAGCCGACUGCCGAACGAACGGAGGGCGAUGGAAGUGGAGAAAGGCCUCUGAGAGGGGUAAUAAAUACCAUAUCGGGCAGUUUUGCCGGAGGAGGGGCAUCCUCAGCCGCCCGAAAGCGGCAUUUGAGAAACUUGCAUAGUGUGAAUAAGGUGGGGAUCGGUAGAAGGACCAUGCCGUCCAUAACGUUUUCAGACGAGGACUUCCAUGCACCAGACCCAGACCAGGAUGACCCCAUGGUCAUAACGGCUAUCAUCGCUCGGUACAGCGUGGGAAAGGUGUUAAUUGAUCAGGGAAGUUCGGCUAACAUCCUAUAUUGGAAAACCUUUCAACAGAUGGACAUACCGGACAAAUCGAUAAUGCCUUUUAACGAGCAAAUCUUGGGAUUCGCAGGAGAACGGGUUGAUACAAGGGGAUAUGUGGACCUAAGGGUGUGCUUAGGGGCAGAGGCGGGGGCGAAGGAGUUAAGGGUGCGUUUCCUGCUGGUAGAGGCGGAAACUUCAUACAACGUGCUGUUGGGACGGCCUUGCCUUAAUGCGUUUGGAGCAAUAGUGUCCACCCCUCACUUGACAAUGAAGUAUCCCGCAGAUGAUGGCAUGAUCCGGACGGUUAAAGCCGACCAGAGGGUAGCAAGGGAGUGUUACGCGGCGGGAUUAAAGGUGCAACCCCCAAGGCAUAGGGUGUGCGAAACCCGUCCGGCAACAUCGGCUGCAGAGUUGGACCCAAGAGAGGAUACCACCGACCGGGUGGAACCGAUGGGGGAAAUCCAGCCAUGUCUCCUAGAAGGCGAAGACCGGGUGACAAUGGUCGGCAAGGACCUUCAGGAGGGCGAAAGGCAAAGGUUGGAGGGUGUGCUGGUGGAGAAUAAGGAUUUGUUCGCCUGGACUGCGUCGGAUAUGCCAGGUAUCCACCCUGGCAUUAUUUCGCAUAAGUUGUCUAUAUUUCGAGAUGCUCGACCGGUAUCUCAGAAGAAGAGGAGGCUAGGUGUGGAGAAGAGAAGGGCGGUAGGCGAAGAGGUGGAGAAGUUGAUCGAGGCUGGGUUCAUAAGAGAAGUCAAGUACACUACUUGGCUGGCCAACGUAGUCAUGGUAAAAAAGUGCAGUGGUAAGUGGAGGAUGUGCAUUGACUUUACGGAUCUAAACAAAGCCUGCCCGAAGGAUAUGUACCCCCUACCGAACAUUGACGCGUUGGUAGAUGGAGUGUCCGGGUAUGAGGUAAUGAGUUUUCUGGACGCCUAUUCAGGGUAUAAUCAGAUACCUAUGUACCGUCCGGACAGCGAUAAAACUGCUUUCAUUACCGAGCAAGGAACCUUUUGCUAUGAGGUCAUGCCGUUCGGUUUGAAGAACGCAGGGGCUACAUACCAAAGACUAAUGGACAAGGUCUUUCAAGGGCAAAUAGGAAGAUGCAUGAAGGUGUAUGUCGAUGAUAUGGUGGUGAGGAGUCGGUCGAUUGAGGAACAUCUGGCGGAUUUAAAGGAGGUUAUGGGGCAACUUCGAAAGUUUGAUAUGCGCCUCAAUCCCGCUAGGUGUACCUUUGGGGUAAGGGCGGGGAAAUUUCUGGGUUUCAUGCUGACCGCACGGGGAAUUGAGGCAAACCCCGACAAGUGUAAGGCGGUGUUGGAAAUGAGAAGCCCCCAGACGGUGAAGGAAGUUCAGAGGCUGGUGGGGCGGCUAACGUCGUUGUCAUGGUUCAUCCCUCAUCUGGCCGGACGGGCGAAACCGAUCGUCAAGGCCAUGAAGAAGACCGCGCGGGAAUGUUGGGAUGAAGAGAGCGAGGAGGCCUUCAAAUGGAUAAAGGAGGUUCUUACCCAGCCCCCCGUGAUGGGUCGGCCCGAACCUGGGCAUGAAUUUCAGAUCUACUUGGCAGUUUCGGAGGGGGCCAUUAGUGCGGCCCUGGUACAGGAGGUUCCUCAGUUCAAACUGGUGUAUUUCGUCAGUAGAAGCUUGAAGGAGGCAGAGUUAAGGUACCAGCAGUUGGAAAAGGUGGCCCUGUCCCUAAUUUAUGCCGCUCGGCGGUUACGGCCAUACUUCCAAGGGUUUCAAGUCGUGGUGCGAACGAACUACCCGAUAGCUAAGAUCUUACGGAAACCAGAUUUGGCGGGCCGAAUGAUAGGGUGGUCGGUAGAACUAUCGGAGUUUGGGUUGAGGUACGAACCGAGGGGGUCGGUACGGGGUCAACACUUGGCAGAUUUUGCGGUUGAUCUACUCCCUGAAGAGGGGGAAUUCUGUUGGAAACUUUCGGUUGAUGGGUCGUCUAGCCGAAGGGGAGGAGGAGCGGGAGUGGUCUUAGAAGGGCCGAACGGGAUAUUGAUUGAGCAAUCGUUGGUGUUCCAGUUCAUGGUUAGCAACAACCAAGCCGAAUAUGAGGCUUUACUGGCCGGGAUGGAGUUGGCAAAGGACCUAGCAGUGGGUCGGUUGGAGUGUCGAACGGAUUCCCAGUUGGUCGAGGGACAGAUGAAUGGGAGCUUCCAGGUGAAGGAUGAUCUCCUGUUGCAAUAUUUUCACAAGGCCAAGCAAUUGGCCUCAAGUUUCAAAAAGUUCACAUUGCGACAUGUUCCUCGAUCGGAGAACAGCCGCGCCGAUACACUGUCGAAGCUGGCCGGCGGAGUCACGAAAGGGGGGUUAUCUUCGGUGAUCAGACAGUUGGUAACCAAGCCGACGGUGGAAUGCUGCGCCAUUACUACCAGGGGAAUACAAAGUACCUGGAAGGACGAGAUAGUACAAUUGAUUCGGAAGCAGGAUGACGGGGGGGCCUUAAGUACCAAGGAGGCCAAGAAGAUCGCUCGGUAUUGCUUGAUAGGUGAUGAGCUGUACCGGAGGGGUUACGUCACUCCAUUAUUGAAGUGUUUGCUGGAGAACGAAGCGGAGUACGUUAUGAGGGAGUUGCAUGAAGGGAUGUGCGAGAGACAUACAGGUGGGCGAACUCUACGAGCUAGAGUGCUAAGGGCAGGGUUUUUCUGGCCGAUGUUAGAGAAGGAUUGCAUGGCGUUCGUCCGGAAAUGUGAAGCCUGCCAAAAGCAUGGGAAUAUUUUCCACGGUCCAGCGGUGGAGUUGCAAGGAAUAAUGUCCCCUUGGCCAUUCGCCCAGUGGGGAAUGGACAUUGUUGGACCACUGUCAACCGGGCGGUCUCAGAUGAGGUUUUUGCUGGUGGCAGUGGACUACUUCACAAAAUGGGUAAAGGCUGAACCUUUGUCAAAAAUCUCUGCCGCCCAAGUUCAGAAAUUUGUAUGGAAGAUCAUUUGCCGGUUCGGGUUGCCCAAAAUGCUCAUUACGGACAACGGUCGGCAGUUUAUAGAUAAGAAGUUGGAAGCCUUUUAUCGGGAGUGGGGCAUAGCUCAUGUCACCAGUUCGGUUGAGCAUCCCCAGACGAACGGGCAGGCGGAGGCAAUGAAUAAAAUAAUCAUACAAGAGUUGAAGAGGAGAUUAGGCGAGGCAAAGGGUGCUUGGGUUGAUGAAUUACCAUCGGUCCUGUGGGAGUAUCGAUGUUCUCCCUACGGGGCAACAGGAGAGUCCCCAUUUAACCUGACCUAUGGGACGGACGCGAUGAUGCCGGUCGAGGUGGGCGAGGAGACACUGAGAAGACAGGUGAAUGACUCAGUGGCGAAUGAAGAAGGUCUGAGGGGAAACCUGGACGUGUUGCAAGAGAGAAGGGAAACUGCAGCGGUCCGGACAGAGGCACUAAAGAGGUUGGUCGCGCGAAGGUACAACACUAAGGUGCGACCAAGGCAAUUGAUCGAGGGCGAUCUCAUUUGGAGGAAAGUCGGGGAAGCUCGGAGGGAGAAGAUUCACAGAAAACUGGCAGCCAGCUGGGAGGGGCCAUUCAGAAUAAGUGAAGGUUUGAAUAAUGGGGCUUACCGACUGGAGCAUCUAGACGGGAAGCCAAUUCCGAAUACAUGGAAUAUAUCUCAUUUAAAAUUGUACUUUAGUUAAAAUCUUUCUUUUUGAACCGCAAUAAAGCAUGUACUUAUGAAGCCAUAAGUUGAAUGAUACGAGGCAUUUCAUUGUUACUUAAUUCUGAUUUUCCCGUUCGGUGGAGAAGGAAGGAAGGAGGAGGAACUUUCCGGCGUUCUUCCCGUUCGAUAGCAUAAGGAAGGAAAACGCUCUGGCGUACCAACGAAGUCAGGAAAAUGACUUCCUCUAACUUAGAAGAAUGAGGGAAAGUUAGGAAAAUGACUUCCCGUUCGGUGGAGAAGGAAGGAAGGAGGAGGAAAUGACUUCCCGUUCGGUGGAGAAGGAAGGAAGGAAGAAGAACGUUCCGGCGUUCUUCCCGUUCGGUAGCAUAAGGAAGGAAAACGCUCCGGCGUAUCAACGAAGUCAGGAAAAUGACUUCCUCUAACUUAGAAGAAUGAGGGAAAGUCAGGAAUGUUCUGGCGUUCUCCCCGUUCGGUGGUGAUAGUAAGUCCCUGGUCUGGGAAGAACUAGGGGUAUCAUGAGACUAAUCCCCCGUUCGGUGGAGCUUAAACCUUGAAAACAAGGUUAGGAAAACGCUCCCUUAUUCUGGCACAUUGACCGUCAAACAUAAAUACAAGGGCGUUCGGGAAUAAACGAAUACGUCGGUCGACACAGCACAAAUCGCAAACAUAUGGUAAUCGUAAAUUGCAGACAUGUAAUAAUUGCAAAGUAAAGACAAAAGUAUGCAACGAGUUCGGUACAAACGAUGUGCAAAUACUAAUCACAAAAUGACAAAGGAAAAAUAAGAAGCUAGCAACUAAUCCUUGGUGGUUUUGUCUGAUGGAGAAGCAAGUGGGGAAGCCUGGUGAGCAUCGGUCGGGACCGCCUGAUCGGGUGCGCUAACAGGUUCGGCAGGAAGCUGGGAGGAGAUGUCAACAAGUUGCCCGCCCACCAAAAUCUUCAUGAUGUUGAAACCUUCAUGCUCUAAGGGCGACUGGAAGAAGUAGUGGCACUGAGCGAUUCCCUGCUCGAACCCACGCUGGCGCUCUUCACAAAAUUCAUCCUCCAGAGCAGUGAAGUCGGCCAGCGAUUUAUCCCGGUCGGCAAUAGCGGCGUCCCUUUCAGAGGUUAGCUGUUUGAGUUGGUCGGAGGAUUGCUGGAGGCUGAGGGUUAGGGCAUCCACUGAUUCUUGGAGGCGCUUCGCUUCCUUUUGAGAUUCAAGGAGGGAUGCGGCGGCCUUGGACCGUUCGUCCUCCACUAAUUUGUUGGCCUUCUCAAGACGCUCGGUAAGAGAGGAAACCUCCUCUUUCGCUUGGGUCAGUUGGUUGUUGGAGAUUUCGAUUUCGGACACCAAGAGGGGCUUCGUGGUUCCAGCAGCAUAGUUCAUACAGAUGCCAGCUCAGGAGAGGAAUUCAUAGGCCAUGUCGGAGGCCUCAGAGGGAGUCAAUUUCUUGAAGGGUUCUUUCUCUUCGGGAGAAAGGUUGAACUCUAGGCGGUCAGACACAUGAAUGUUGGGAUCAAGGAGACUGGAGAGAAGGCGGCUGGAGAGUUUCUUCUUUUUGGGUGGUGAAGGUGUCUUUUCUUGGGAAGGACGCUUCCUGCUUUUGGUCUUAGGCAAAAAGGAGAUCACGAUCGGCUUGGACUCGUCGAUCUUCGGAACGUUGAGGGGGGCCGGUGAAGCGGAACUGGAGGGGGCAGCGGUUGAGGAGGAGGGAACGGUAACAUGUCCGCUGCGUUGGUUCUUGCGGGCCAAAGCUCGGGCAAAAGCUUGGUGUUUCUCCAUGCCACCAAAGAAAUCUGCAAGGAAAGCGCAAAUUUAGCAAGUUAAUAAUGACCGGUCGAUAAUUCCAAAAUGUAAAGAAACUUACCGAACACUCUAGUUCGUAGAGUGUUAGAGUUAGAUCCGAUGAGUUCGAUGAGUUUGCGAGAGGAGGUCUUGCGGGGCAGCUGAUCGAUUUGGCGUAUCACCUCCAACUCGUCGUCGGUCAUUUCGGACUUCUUCCAGGAAAUGACUUGUUUGGGAUGCUCGGUCCAGUAGAGGGGGAAUUUGGGCCGGCCCUCCGAAAAGUAUUUGGGCCGGCCGGGUUCACGUAUGGCAACCUUGAAGAAGUUUGAUUUGAAAUCCUUGUAAGAAGAGUUGAAAGGAGCGAAUAGCUGCUUAUCCUUUACAGGGAUCAGAGAGAUCCAACUUUUGUUGGGAUGGGGUAAAGCCCGGAAGAAGAAAAGGAAGGACGCUGGAGUUGGGGUUAAUAGUAAACCGGUACAUAGAAUGGAAAAGGCUUGCAUGCAUGCCCAGCCGUUCGGAUGGAGCUGAGCGGGACAAAUAUUCAGUUCGCGAAGCACGCCGCACUGAAAGUCGGAGAAGGGAAGCCUCACCCCCAGGUCACGAAAAAGGGUUAGGUAGGCGUAAAAGAAGUCCAGGGCAUACCCUUCCCGACUGUGGCACACCCGCUCGUUAGAACGACAUACCACCAAGGAUAUGUCAGCCGCAUCUCGACGGAGAUUGGACAUGAGAUCCACCGAUUCGAGCAAACGAACGAUGGAGGAGGUGGAAAUAAAGUAGGAAGGAUGACCCCGAGCUUCAUGGGGAGCCUAGUCAUAACCUGAGAUGGCGGGGGGAGGAGCCACGCUGGUCCACUCCAGGGAGUUGUCAAUGUUGAAUUCAACAUCAUCGGCGCGAGCCUCCUUCGGGCAGGGCGACCGGACGAGGUGGACGACGAAGAGGGAGAAGAGGUCGACGCAGCCGCAUCAUCAGCGUACCCCCGACCUUCACCUUCGAACUCAUCGGAAGACCACGACGACGAAGACAUCUACCUGAGCAACUGAAGGAAGGAAGCAGAAGAACGGGAAGAGAGCAGAGUGAGAUCGGGAAUCGGAGGGUAGAGGGAAGAGAGCGCGAGAAUGAGGGAGGGGCCCUCCACCUUUUAUAGCCGAAAAAGAGGGCUUCAAGAACGCAUCUCAGCCGUCCAUCGAUGGUAGAUCCAACGGAGGAAAACUUGUGACUCUUUGGUGAACAGAUGUGAUUGAUGGGGGAAAGGAUCAUGGCCGUUGUUGAAGGCAAGAUCGAAUAGCUAUAAUAGCGAGACGUUUCGUUGCCCAGAACCAUUUGGAGAGUUUAAACCCCUUCGCUAGUCGAAGACGCUCGGGGCUUGGGGGGCUUGUGUAGUGGAGAGGGGCCGGUUGGGCCGAUCGGACCAAGCGCAGUGGAGAUGGGCCGGUCGGGCCGACCAGUGCGGGGCGAGUAGAAGUGAGGUUGUAGGAGCAUUGAUGUGCCUUGAUGGAGAUGUAACGGAAGAUGUAGCAAAUCAAUGAAAUUAAUGGUCAGUUACGAAUGUGCAGUCUAUAAAUAAGAAUAGCAGGACAGGUAAAGUAAUCUUGAAUCUAAUCUAAAUUGGCCUAGCUAAUUGAUCCAUUAUCUGACUUGGGCGUCGAAGUGUUCUCUUUGCAAGACCUCCUCGUUGAUCUUCAAAAGACAUCAUUAAGACGAACAGGUCGGGCGGUCGGAAGCUGGUCCAAAGGGUCGGUUCGGUCUCGGGC
This 9238-nucleotide long non-coding RNA is filed under the name Vigna radiata. RNAcentral describes it as "long non-coding RNA (VRAD_LNC000611)". Lineage: Eukaryota; Viridiplantae; Streptophyta; Magnoliopsida; Fabales; Fabaceae. The record is from RNAcentral.